UGCAAGUAGAACGCUGAAGAGAGGAGCUUGCUCUUCUUGGAUGAGUUGCGAACGGGUGAGUAACGCGUAGGUAACCUGCCUUGUAGCGGGGGAUAACUAUUGGAAACGAUAGCUAAUACCGCAUAACAAUGGAUGACACAUGUCAUUUAUUUGAAAGGGGCAAUUGCUCCACUACAAGAUGGACCUGCGUUGUAUUAGCUAGUAGGUGAGGUAAUGGCUCACCUAGGCGACGAUACAUAGCCGACCUGAGAGGGUGAUCGGCCACACUGGGACUGAGACACGGCCCAGACUCCUACGGGAGGCAGCAGUAGGGAAUCUUCGGCAAUGGGGGCAACCCUGACCGAGCAACGCCGCGUGAGUGAAGAAGGUUUUCGGAUCGUAAAGCUCUGUUGUAAGUCAAGAACGGGUGUGAGAGUGGAAAGUUCACACUGUGACGGUAGCUUACCAGAAAGGGACGGCUAACUACGUGCCAGCAGCCGCGGUAAUACGUAGGUCCCGAGCGUUGUCCGGAUUUAUUGGGCGUAAAGCGAGCGCAGGCGGUUUGAUAAGUCUGAAGUUAAAGGCUGUGGCUCAACCAUAGUUCGCUUUGGAAACUGUCAAACUUGAGUGCAGAAGGGGAGAGUGGAAUUCCAUGUGUAGCGGUGAAAUGCGUAGAUAUAUGGAGGAACACCGGUGGCGAAAGCGGCUCUCUGGUCUGUAACUGACGCUGAGGCUCGAAAGCGUGGGGAGCGAACAGGAUUAGAUACCCUGGUAGUCCACGCCGUAAACGAUGAGUGCUAGGUGUUGGAUCCUUUCCGGGAUUCAGUGCCGCAGCUAACGCAUUAAGCACUCCGCCUGGGGAGUACGACCGCAAGGUUGAAACUCAAAGGAAUUGACGGGGGCCCGCACAAGCGGUGGAGCAUGUGGUUUAAUUCGAAGCAACGCGAAGAACCUUACCAGGUCUUGACAUCCCGAUGCUAUUUCUAGAGAUAGAAAGUUACUUCGGUACAUCGGUGACAGGUGGUGCAUGGUUGUCGUCAGCUCGUGUCGUGAGAUGUUGGGUUAAGUCCCGCAACGAGCGCAACCCCUAUUGUUAGUUGCCAUCAUUCAGUUGGGCACUCUAGCGAGACUGCCGGUAAUAAACCGGAGGAAGGUGGGGAUGACGUCAAAUCAUCAUGCCCCUUAUGACCUGGGCUACACACGUGCUACAAUGGUUGGUACAACGAGUUGCGAGUCGGUGACGGCGAGCUAAUCUCUUAAAGCCAAUCUCAGUUCGGAUUGUAGGCUGCAACUCGCCUACAUGAAGUCGGAAUCGCUAGUAAUCGCGGAUCAGCACGCCGCGGUGAAUACGUUCCCGGGCCUUGUACACACCGCCCGUCACACCACGAGAGUUUGUAACACCCGAAGUCGGUGAGGUAACCUUUUGGAGCCAGCCGC
Molecule: ribosomal RNA, 1416 nt
Filed under: Streptococcus thermophilus
Lineage: Bacteria; Bacillati; Bacillota; Bacilli; Lactobacillales; Streptococcaceae
Description: bacterial SSU rRNA
Rfam family: Bacterial small subunit ribosomal RNA
Source: RNAcentral